GACGAACGCUGGCGGCGUGCUUAACACAUGCAAGUCGAACGGAAAGGCCCUGCUUUUGUUGGGUGCUCGAGUGGCGAACGGGUGAGUAACACGUGAGUAACCUGCCCUUGACUUUGGGAUAACUUCAGGAAACUGGGGCUCAUACCGGAUAGGAGCUCCUGCUGCAUGGUGUGGGUUGGAAAGUUUCGGCGGUUGGGGAUGUACUCGCGGCUUAUCAGCUUGUUGGUGGGGUAGUGGCUUACCAAGGCUUUGACGGGUAGCCUGCCUGAGAGGGUGACCGGCGACAUUGGGACUGAGAUACGGACCAGAAGCCUACGGGAGGCAGCAGUGGGGAAUAUUACACAAUGGGCGGAAGCCUGAUGCAGAAACGCCGCGUGCGGGAUGACGGCCUUCGGGUUGUAAACAGAUUUCGAAUGUGACGAAGAGUGAGUGACGGUAAUGGGUAAAGAAGCACCGGCUAACUACGUG
RNAcentral lists this ribosomal RNA (468 nucleotides) under uncultured bacterium. RNAcentral describes it as "partial 16S ribosomal RNA". It matches the Rfam family "Bacterial small subunit ribosomal RNA", at positions 28 to 507 of the family's 1533-position model. The record is from RNAcentral.